Molecule: long non-coding RNA, 1272 nt
Organism: Betta splendens (Siamese fighting fish)
Lineage: Eukaryota; Metazoa; Chordata; Actinopteri; Anabantiformes; Osphronemidae
Exons: 2
Source: RefSeq, a predicted model, not a curated record
UAUGCUAACGGCUACAGCAAGUCGAGCCUUUGUCCCCUUCAAAUGUGCUCAUGUGGGCUCCUGCAGCCACACACCUGUGUGGAGAAAAGCUAAUGGCUAUCGGCAUCGAGCGGCUACAGGCAGGGAGCGGUGGGUCUAGCGUCUGUCCUUUUUCUGUAAUCACAUACACCUGCGGGGAACAGCUGAUCGUUAUCGCCCUUCCAGCAGCGACAGACAGGAAGCGGUGGAUCUAGCUCGCUGUAGUAAGUUUGUGCUUGAUACUUGUGAUAUCUAAAUAUGUUAGUUAGGUCUGUUUAAAAUGCAGUAACCCACAUGUGAGACAAGCUAAUCGCUAGCGUCGCUAACGGCUACAGUGAGUCAACCGAGCCUUUGUCCCUUUCAAAUGUGCUACUCUGAGUUGGUGCAACCACACACCUGUGUGGGGAACAGCUAAUAGCGAUGGGCCUUCGAUCGGCGACAGGCAGGAAGCGGUGGAUCGAGCUUUUGUCCUGUUGAUGUGCUGCCGCUCCUGUUUGUGUUGCGUUAGCCGUUAGCAUGCCUUUAGGCCUUUGCACUUUAGAGCUACAGCUGGUCGAUCGCUACAAAAAGAACCUGCAGAUGAACGCGGUUAUGUUUAUUACCCCGUCCUGUGUCACAGCCUAAAUCAACUUGUGAUUUGGGGUUAUGUCAUUGUUCUAUCAAAUUCUAACAUGAUUAGUUGGAAUGAUUACUGUGUUGUGUUUCAAGCUUAGUUGCUAAUUAGUCACAUCUCUACAACACCUGCUGCUUAUCUGGUCAGUUACCGAUAGCUUGUACCAUAGCCAUUAUAUUUGUAGGACCAAUACAAUUUACAGUAAAUGUAACAGUCUUUUCUAUACUGUAGGAGGGCAAAUCCCAGUUGCCCACAUGCAAGGAGGCUGUGAAACAGAGAAAUCACUGCAGACUGUUGGUACACAGACAUCUGCUGCCCAGCUCAGGAGUGAAGUACCUUUUUGUUUCGAUGAGGUGAUGGUGAGGACAGCCACAGCUUCCAUCUGGUAGAGGACUGCUUCCGCUCAGUCUUCCAAAUAGUGAUGAGAACAAGGAUCACCACAUCUCCCUGUUUACCCUACUUUCAUGCAUUUCGUCUGCAGGGCCCUGCAAAAGCUUCUCCUUCGUCCUCAAACCCCCAGACUUCUUAAUUAACUCAGUAACCUAUACAUUGCACAUUGGAGUGUGAAGGUAACAGUUUGUUCUAGCUUUGGAGUAGUGGUGUAUUUUUUUGGUUUACAAUAAAGUUGGCUUUAACUAUUA